RNAcentral lists this ribosomal RNA (254 nucleotides) under uncultured bacterium. RNAcentral describes it as "partial 16S ribosomal RNA". It matches the Rfam family "Bacterial small subunit ribosomal RNA", at positions 524 to 776 of the family's 1533-position model. The record is from RNAcentral.
UACGUAGGGGGCAAGCGUUAUCCGGAUUUACUGGGUGUAAAGGGAGCGUAGGUGGCAAGGCAAGCCAGAAGUGAAAACCCGGGGCUUAACCCCGCGGAUUGCUUUUGGAACUGUCUGGCUGGAGUGCAGGAGGGGCAGGCGGAAUUCCUAGUGUAGCGGUGAAAUGCGUAGAUAUUAGGAGGAACACCGGUGGCGAAGGCGGCCUGCUGGACUGUAACUGACACUGAGGCUCGAAAGCGUGGGGAGCAAACAGG